RNAcentral lists this ribosomal RNA (422 nucleotides) under uncultured microorganism. Its description in RNAcentral is "bacterial SSU rRNA". It matches the Rfam family "Bacterial small subunit ribosomal RNA", at positions 9 to 429 of the family's 1533-position model. The record is from RNAcentral.
GAGUUUGAUCGUGGCUCAGAUUGAGCGCUGGCGGCAUGCCUUACACAUGCAAGUCGAACGGCAGCAUGAUCUAGCUUGCUAGAUUGAUGGCGAGUGGCGAACGGGUGAGUAAUACAUCGGAACGUGCCCUGUAGUGGGGGAUAACUAGUCGAAAGAUUAGCUAAUACCGCAUACGACCUGAGGGUGAAAGUGGGGGACCGCAAGGCCUCAUGCUAUAGGAGCGGCCGAUGUCUGAUUAGCUAGUUGGUGGGGUAAAGGCCCACCAAGGCGACGAUCAGUAGCUGGUCUGAGAGGACGAUCAGCCACACUGGGACUGAGACACGGCCCAGACUCCUACGGGAGGCAGCAGUGGGGAAUUUUGGACAAUGGGCGAAAGCCUGAUCCAGCAAUGCCGCGUGUGUGAAGAAGGCCUCGGUUGUAAG